AAGAACUCACAUGGAUCGUUACCAUGUCCACAUUUGAAUGAGCCGCUUACAAAGGUGCAAAUGAUUUAGAGUGACUCAUUGGCAUGGUUCCACCUUAACCAGUGCUUGAGAAGCUUUUUUAAACAAUGGAUUGAAAAUGGGAACACCUGGAUUAAAUUCCCAGCCCUACAAUGAUUGAAGAGCUUCAUGCCACUGCAUUAUGUCAAUCAAUCAGCAAAUAUGUCCUGCCAUUAAAAGAAAAAAAUCUAAGUAACAAUGUGCUAAUGAUCUACAUAUUUUGCAAACCUGGUUUAAGGUCAUAUAAUUAUUUCUCAG
This 315-nucleotide long non-coding RNA is filed under the name Equus caballus (horse). Its description in RNAcentral is "lncRNA (ENSECAG00000052206.1)". The record is from RNAcentral. Lineage: Eukaryota; Metazoa; Chordata; Mammalia; Perissodactyla; Equidae.